AGUGUUCUGGACCUUUUCUCUUUAUGUGUUACGCACAGAACAGUCUCCGAAUGUGUCCCUCUUUCCCAUCGUCGCUCCAGGAACACCCUGCUCUUUUGCUCCCGGGGGAACCUGAGAAAAAACAAGGUCCCAGCCCUCCUCAGUGUAACCCUUUCCCCUCCUUAGAAGUUGGGAAGAAAAUGUCCCCACCCAAAAUGGAGAGUGUCUGAGGAUUCAAGAAAUCUGAAGGCUGAUUUGUGGAAGGCUGUGUUGCCACCUCUGUUUUAUUGACCUCCAGCCCAGCUAAGACGGCCUUGUAACCUUCCCAGGCCUUGUAGAUAAGCAAGCAAGGGACCCAAGAAUAAAGAGUAAUUCAAAAUCCAGUAAAUGGAAUGUGGAAUCGGAUCAGAGUAGGAGACUUCAUCUCACCAUAAACAGGAUACAGAGGAAGGCUUUGGGGGGAUGGACCAAGGUGAGGGCAAGGUUCAAAUUCUCCUGGGAAAAUGAACAAUCAUCUCCCUGACAUCAUCUUCUGCUCACUAGCUGUCAGUCAAUCAACAACUGCCUACUAUGUGGCAGGAACCGUCCUAAGCCCUGGGCAUACGAAGAAUAACCAGAACUGCUCCUGUUCUCAAGGACCUUACAGUUUAAUGUUUCAAAUCACUAUGUGAAGCUCCUGGGAAGCCCCUUGAACCUGUCAAAGUGCAGAGGUAACCAAAUGCUGCCCUGUACAGGAGGAGACUGAGGCAGCAGGUGCCACAUUCCUUCGAUCAGAACGGGUUUUUCUCCAAAGCUUUGCCAGGGAGAUUGGUGAGCAGGCCAGGGGAGAGAUCACCUGGAGGGACAUAGGAGGCUGGGUUCCCUCAUCUCUCUUUCUCAUCCAGCCCCUACCCCUCACUCUGUCUGAACUGCAAAGAAGAAAAGAAGGGACAUGAGAUCUGGGUGACCAACCCAAGACCUUAUCAGGUCUUCUGCACCACUCCUCACCAUGUCCCUGCCAGGCCUGCCAAGGAGUUCGGUGGCUGUGUGGCUGGAUGGCCACAUAGACUGCAGCUCAUUGCUGCACAGAUGGAUAGAUAGAUUUGGGAAGCUGGGGAGCAGGUAGCCCACUUGUUAUCUAUAUUACGAAUUCCACGAAACCACUGUUGAAUCGGGAAGAAGCUUUAUGAACGACCUGGGAAAGCUGGGAGUCCUACAUGUGUGAGAGCACAUGUGACAGAUGCACACCUUUUUAUUCCCUAUUCCCCUUCCCUUUCUCUUCUCUCCCCAUCUCUCACCGGCCC
This is a long non-coding RNA of Vombatus ursinus (common wombat), 1262 nucleotides long. RefSeq lists it as uncharacterized. The record is from RefSeq and is a predicted model, not a curated record. The transcript is spliced from 6 exons. NCBI's taxonomy places the organism in Eukaryota, Metazoa, Chordata, Mammalia, Diprotodontia, Vombatidae.